AGUGAACGCUGGCGGUAGGCCUAACACAUGCAAGUCGAACGGCAGCACAGUAAGAGCUUGCUCUUACGGGUGGCGAGUGGCGGACGGGUGAGGAAUACAUCGGAAUCUACUUUUUCGUGGGGGAUAACGUAGGGAAACUUACGCUAAUACCGCAUACGACCUACGGGUGAAAGCAGGGGAUCUUCGGACCUUGUGCGAUUGAAUGAGCCGAUGUCGGAUUAGCUAGUUGGCGGGGGAAAGGCCCACCAAGGCGGCGAUCCGUAGCUGGUCUGAGAGGAUGAUCAGCCACACUGGAACUGAGACACGGUCCAGACUCCUACGGGAGGCAGCAGUGGGGAAUAUUGGACAAUGGGCGCAAGCCUGAUCCAGCCAUACCGCGUGGGUGAAGAAGGCCUUCGGGUUGUAAAGCCCUUUUGUUGGGAAAGAAAAGCAGCAGGUUAAUACCCCGCUGUUCUGACGGUACCCAAAGAAUAAGCACCGGCUAACUUCGUG
RNAcentral lists this ribosomal RNA (492 nucleotides) under uncultured bacterium. RNAcentral's name for it is "partial 16S ribosomal RNA". It matches the Rfam family "Bacterial small subunit ribosomal RNA", at positions 29 to 507 of the family's 1533-position model. The record is from RNAcentral.